CCAAAUGCUGUGUUUAUAAGUUUGUGACAUCAUACCCAGCUCUCAAGUUAGGAUAAACCCAGUUCAAAUCAGAUCUGAAAAUCUGGAUCCUCAAAGUGUAUGAAGCAUCAAAGUCAGAAGCAGCAGCCAAUUCCAUCCCGGCUUUGACAACCCAAGAGGAGAGGCAGCAUGCACAGGAGGUGGGGCUUUUCUGGGCCCUCCCAGGAAGGAAGCUCUGCUCUUCUCUUCACCAGCUGUGCCGGACUCCACAGUGCUUUUUCUGCUCCCAGUGGGCGAGGCUGAGUCAUCGGGCGCCUGGCUGGCGUCUUCUCUGUAUUUGUCUGUGUGUGCAGAAAACGCUGUAGGAGAGCCCUUGUCACCGAGUUCAGCUUUGAUGGCACUGUCUUUCCCAUCUCUAGCAUCCACCACUCGGUGGUAGGCUCUCGCCGUGCUCUGGUAGGAGUGCCUGUUGGUGCAGGUCAGCACGUGUUCGUCCAGCAGCUUUUCACAGCUAAAGCCAAACCCACAACUGUCACAGGUAAAACUCCGUCCAAAGCGUCGCGACACACGUUCUUUUGGAGUAGAUAACUUGGACACGGAACUUUUUUUACACACGUCAAACAGUGGCUCAGGAAAGUUGGCCAACGGUAAAGACUCCUCCUCAGGCUCUCUGUUAUGUGGCGUAUUCACCGUUGAACUGGGCUCCGCACUCCACCGGUUGGCUUCACUGCCGUUUCUAGCCACUGUGUCUUCAUACAUCCUCACCCCAAAGAUCAUCUUGCUGUUGUGUUUGCUGGAGGCGGAAGACGAGCACUUCGAGCUGGAACAGUCUGAGUCCUGUAUAUCUUCUAAGCAGUCAGGAACAUUGUAGAGCUGGAGGUAGUUCAUAGCCACUUUGAACUGCUCAAAACUGGAAGGAGCGGUCAGAAUCUUCCCUAAAUACAUGAACUGCAAAAUG
Molecule: long non-coding RNA, 937 nt
Filed under: Rattus norvegicus (Norway rat)
Lineage: Eukaryota; Metazoa; Chordata; Mammalia; Rodentia; Muridae
Description: long non-coding RNA NONRATT025120
Source: RNAcentral